AUUGAACGCUGGCGGCAGGCCUAACACAUGCAAGUCGAGCGGAUGAAGGGAGCUUGCUCCUGGAUUCAGCGGCGGACGGGCGAGUAAUGCCUAGGAAUCUGCCUGUCAGUGGGGGAUAACGUCCGGACACGGGCGCUAAUACCGCAUACGUCCUGAGGGCGAACGUGGGGGAUCUUCGGACCUCACGCUAUCAGAUGAGCCUAGGUCGGAUUAGCUAGUUGGUGGGGUAAAGGCCUACCAAGGCGACGAUCCGUAACUGGUCUGAGAGGAUGAUCAGUCACACUGGAACUGAGACACGGUCCAGACUCCUACGGGAGGCGGCAGUGGGGAAUAUUGGACAAUGGGCGAAAGCCUGAUCCAGCCAUGCCGCGUGUGUGAAGAAGGUCUUCGGAUUGUAAAGCACUUUAAGUGGGGAGGAAGAGCAGUAAGUUAAUACCUUGCUGUUUUGACGGUACCAACAGAAUAAGCACCGGCUAACUUCGUG
Molecule: ribosomal RNA, 484 nt
Filed under: uncultured bacterium
Lineage: Bacteria
Description: partial 16S ribosomal RNA
Rfam family: Bacterial small subunit ribosomal RNA
Source: RNAcentral